Molecule: small nuclear RNA, 107 nt
Filed under: Delphinapterus leucas (beluga whale)
Lineage: Eukaryota; Metazoa; Chordata; Mammalia; Artiodactyla; Monodontidae
Source: RNAcentral
GUGCUCACUUCAGCAGCACAUAUACUAAAAUUGGAACAAUACAGGGAAGAUUAGCAUGACCCCUGUGCAAGGGUAACAUGCAAAUUCGUGAAGCAUUCCAUAUUUUU